UGAGGAUGACCUGGAGCACUCGGCUGAACCUGUACCAGACCAUGGAGGAACACAUCCAAGCAAGUCUUGAAUAUCUCCAAAGGAGACUCCACAGCCCCCCCAGGGCAGCCUCUUCCAGUGUUCUGUCACCCUCACAGUCAAAAAAUUCUCCUUUGUGUUUACUUGAAACUUCCUAUGCUUCAGCUUCCAGCCACUGCCCCUUGUCCUGUCAUCAGGCAUCGCCAAGAAGAGCCUGGCUCCAUCCUCCUGGCACUCAUUUCUCCUUCUGUACCAUGGGUGUUUUCAAGCCAGCCCACUCUGGUGUAAGGAACCAUGUGGUUUACUCGUGCUCUCUUAUGGGAUCAGAUGUGACAGCAAUGAAUACAACAGAAAAGCUCUGACUAGAGGCAAUACACGAAGACUGGACUUCAGAUCUAAUGACUGGGAACCAUUUCAAGUGUUAAUCUUUCUCCUUUGUUGUUCUUUACCCAAGUCGAAGCUAAAUCUUAAUCUCCCUAAUCCCACUAUUUCCAUGUGAAAGGUCUGCGAGCAAUGUGGGAGAUAAACUCAUUUGCUUCUCUUAGAAGUUACGUCAAGGAGCACAACGGGAAGAUCCGCACAGGCAGGAAUUUUUAGCUGCAGUCCCCCAGGGUGCAAGGACCGUGCUCUUUUUUCAAACCUGAUUAA
Long non-coding RNA from Pogoniulus pusillus (Red-fronted tinkerbird), 666 nucleotides. RefSeq lists it as uncharacterized. The transcript is spliced from 2 exons. Lineage: Eukaryota; Metazoa; Chordata; Aves; Piciformes; Lybiidae. The record is from RefSeq and is a predicted model, not a curated record.